CACACGCACAACCGCCCGCACGCCCCCCUCCUCCCAUCGCGCCUCACCGCAUGCCGCCUCCUGCUCCUCCCACGCCGCGCCGCGCCGCACGCCGCCUGCGUCGGCGGUAGGGGCGGCAAGGUCCAUCUCCUCCCUCAAGCUGCGGCGGCCUUGAGACACAGCGGGCUCGGCCACGAAGAUGGAUUUCUCCGACGGGGCAUUCGAUUCCUGGCCUCUGUUCCUCAACCUCGCGUCAGGCACAUAUGCCCCAGCGGUUGUUCCUCCUCGUGGUUAGCGACGCAGAUGCCGCUCCUGUCGUUCCUCGCACAACCGAGGAUGCGGAACUCCUCUACGGUGAGACGCAUUGCGUAGCCUCUGCCCUCCAGCAUCAUGGCAGCAUGCCUAUGCCCACCAAAUGUUCGAUGAGUUCCCCUAAUUGACCUAUCUAUAUAGCUAGCCCUCUCUAUUUCAGUCUCUCGUGUCAUCCAUAUAUGAUCUUAUUUUGUUUCAGUUUUUUGCUAUAUUUAACACUGACAUUUGUUUAAAUCCUAUCCAUGUUGAACCAUUGAAAGGGAGCACACAAAGCUGCAGAGGCAACAACUCCAAAGGAAUCAGCAUGGUCAUGCGUUUCUAUAUAUUCAGUGUGACUAGAAACCAACAUGCUGACUACUAAACCAUAUGCACAGGAUGGUAGAAAAUUAUUAUUCUAUAUGCACAAGAUCGUAGAACAUUAUUAUUAAUGUCUACAUUGGAAAGUAUCCAAAUUCUAAACAAGUGAUUGGUGAACAAUUUUUUAUCUAGGUUCAAAAGUUGAUAAUCCAUUACAGUUCUUUCAUUGUGCAGGCAACCUCGGGUACAACGAAACGGCUUUGUUUUGCUUCUGUCGUCACAUUGCUGAAUACGACUUUGAAUCUCAGCUGCACUUGACUGCUCCUUCUAUAUUGAUCUGCUUGGCAACUUAUAAUUUGCACAAGCAUUCCCCUGCAUAGUUUGUCCUUGGUCUGAAAGAACAAUUCCUGAUGAUAUAUUUGAAAUCAGGUUGUUUCCUGGAUCCUAUGAACGAUAUGUACAGUCACGCUGUCAUUAUCCGUUUACCAUCAAGUAAGUUUUCACUAUGUUUUGUUUCAGUUCCAUUUCAGAAUCCCUAAACCAUAUACUCCCUCUGUUCCUCAAUAUAAGUCUUUGUAGAGAUUCCACUAUGAACCACAUACGGAUGUAUAUACAUGCAUUUUGAGUGUAGAUUCCACUCAUUUUGCUUCGUAUGUACUUCAUAGUAAAAUCUCUACAAAGACUUAUAUUUAGGAACGGAGGGAGUAAAUUGCAGAGCAAAGCUAGAUGAUGGACAUCUUCACUAAUAAGUAGGUGUGCUUACCACAUUCCUCUUGUUUUCUACAGUUGACGAUUUAAAUUAUUCAAGAAUGCACGACGCACAAGGCUGUAAGGUUUCCGCACUUGCAUCCAUAGAAAUCUAGGUGUUGGUAAAUUCUGUUUUGGAUGGAUUCUGAAGGGAACUUUGUUUUUAUCAAGGAUCAGACAAUACUAAGAGACUAACAAGAAUACAGUAAAUUACUGGAUCAUUCAUAGUUCCCUAGCGUAGAAUAGAACCCGUUCUGGUAACUAUCUUGGGGCUCUAGAAAUAAUUCCUCUGAAACUGAAUCAUUCAGUCAUACCUUCACUUUAGUAAAUAAUGGCUCUGGAUACUGGGAUCUCUCAUCUUGAUUAUUUUUUAUAUACUGCAUUGCAAAACCAGAAGCUCAAGCUAGGUUAGGCUAAGACUAGGCUCACAAAAUAAUGAUGAUGAUUACUUAGCUAAAAUUGUUCUGGAACUUUUCGUGAUCUCACAUUUUUUUCCCGAGACUGAAUUAAUGGGUAUGGAAUUCUAUUUGGUCGAGUUGUUUAUCUGAAUGCAACCUUUGAAUAGUUAAUGAAAUUUCUGGGAUUUGGUGUUGCCAGAUUGUUCAUGUGAACGUGGCAGGAGCCUUCAUUUGUGGCCUAACAUUUUUUACCAGUUAUUAUCUUCUCAUGUAAUAGUUGUAAAUUUGCAGUCUAGAUUAGCACAUAUAGUGACUACUCAUGCUUGUCAUCACUGUACCUAAAUGAUGUCUUCCUUGCGUACUUGUCAUCACUACACCUUCAAUCGACACUGUUAUUUAUGCUGAAUGUCAAGACCUUCAGUAUUGUACACCAUUUUUAUGAAUGCUUAGCCUAAACGUCACGGUUGUUUAUGUUAGCCUUGCUUUAUAAGUCAGAAUGAUGGGCCAAGAGCUUCCGUUUCUUUUGGGUUGGGUUUUAUUUACUACGAAUAUAUCUAGCGAUACAAAGAGCACAUGAGUUAUUCCUACAAUAUUUUUGGUGUUCAGAUAGAGUUAAGAAAAUUAUGAUGUUACCAGAUCUAUUUAGUUCAUGAUUUUGGUAAUUAAAAUUCUAGCCUGGUGAUGGAUUAGGUUGAUGGGUCAACAUCUUCAGUCAUCUUCACUUUGUAAGUUGAACUAUUAAUGCUUAGUUUUAUUGUAGAGGGGCUUAGUUCAGUUUGCAGAACUACCAUGAUAAAUAGACAAACUGUUUAUUGACAGAGGGGAUUUGUUUUUAUGCAUUCAUAGUUAUUCCUGUUAUAGGCUGGUCCUCUUUUGAGGCUACUAAUUGCAUUAGGAAGAUGUUUUCUUUCGAAAUGGUUAGAAAGAGGAUGUUGAACUAAACUUCCCUUAGUUCAUUCCUUAUAUUUUUCUCAUGUUUCCUCGCAAUGGAAGGAGCACGAUAGCUUGUGGGUGGUGCUAUGGUGCAAGCGUGUAGUGGACUUGGAGGCCAGGAUUUUAGCUACAGGAAAAGAAUGAGGCUACAACUGGUGGACAAGUGAUAUGACCACGAUAAGAAAAAUGUUGCAGGUGCACAUGAUGAGCAGUCUUGGUGAGAUUAGUGGCUGAAGCUGGCUGGCAAAUAUCUGAAGGAAUCCACUAGACUUUUUUUUGCGGGAAGGAAUCCAAUAGACUUCCUGUGUAGUGAAAAUGACCAAUAUGCGCAUGAAAAAAGAUGGAUCACCCUGAGGUUUGCAAUGUAAAUCUUAUGGAAGGUGACACUGUUUGAUCAAGAGAUGAACACCAUUCAAUUGGCAACUUUGGAUUGUUCCCAUUAUUGGAGUUUGAUGUUUGAAAUUAGUUGUUUUUUUGCAUUUUGACACGGAGUUAUGUUGUUUCACCACAUGCAACAAUUUAAAUUUUGGUGUUCGAAAUAUGUUUGACUAAAUAUAUAUGGAGUAUUAGUUAGUACGUGCAUUGCACGUGCGCGUUUACUAGUGCAGUUGUGGUAGUACUAAUUUGUAGGUCUAGUUUUCUACAG
Molecule: long non-coding RNA, 3312 nt
Organism: Triticum aestivum (bread wheat)
Lineage: Eukaryota; Viridiplantae; Streptophyta; Magnoliopsida; Poales; Poaceae
Exons: 4
Source: RefSeq, a predicted model, not a curated record